UACGAAGGGGGCCAGCGUUGUUCGGAAUUACUGGGCGUAAAGCGCACGUAGGCGGGUAUUUAAGUCAGGGGUGAAAUCCCAGAGCUCAACUCUGGAACUGCCUUUGAUACUGGGUACCUAGAGUAUGGAAGAGGUGAGUGGAAUUCCGAGUGUAGAGGUGAAAUUCGUAGAUAUUCGGAGGAACACCAGUGGCGAAGGCGGCUCACUGGUCCAUUACUGACGCUGAGGUGCGAAAGCGUGGGGAGCAAACAGG
Molecule: ribosomal RNA, 253 nt
Filed under: uncultured bacterium
Lineage: Bacteria
Description: partial 16S ribosomal RNA
Rfam family: Bacterial small subunit ribosomal RNA
Source: RNAcentral